GACGAACGCUGGCGGUAUGCUUAACACAUGCAAGUCGAACGAGAAGUCUUUUAUUGAACCUUCGGGGGAUAUAAGAGACAGACAGUGGCGAACGGGUGAGUAACGCGUGGGCAACCUACCUAUCGGAGCGGGAUAGCCUCGAGAAAUCGGGAGUAAAACCGCAUAACACGGAUAUAUCGCAUGAUGAAUCCGUCAAAACUCCGGUGCCGAUAGAUGGGCCCGCGUCUGAUUAGCUAGUUGGUAAGGUAAGGGCUUACCAAGGCAACGAUCAGUAGCCGGUCUGAGAGGGCGAACGGCCACACUGGAACUGAGACACGGUCCAGACUCCUACGGGAGGCAGCAGUGGGGAAUAUUGCGCAAUGGGGGCAACCCCUGACGCAGCAAUACCGCGUGAGUGAAAGAAAGGUUUUUCGGAUUCGUAAAAGCUU
Molecule: ribosomal RNA, 428 nt
Filed under: Pseudoramibacter alactolyticus
Lineage: Bacteria; Bacillati; Bacillota; Clostridia; Eubacteriales; Eubacteriaceae
Description: bacterial SSU rRNA
Rfam family: Bacterial small subunit ribosomal RNA
Source: RNAcentral